Molecule: ribosomal RNA, 2905 nt
Filed under: Enterobacter hormaechei
Lineage: Bacteria; Pseudomonadati; Pseudomonadota; Gammaproteobacteria; Enterobacterales; Enterobacteriaceae
Also listed under: 2 other names
Description: 23S ribosomal RNA
Rfam family: Bacterial large subunit ribosomal RNA
Source: RNAcentral
GGUUAAGCGACUAAGCGUACACGGUGGAUGCCCUGGCAGUCAGAGGCGAUGAAGGACGUGCUAAUCUGCGAAAAGCGCCGGCGAGGUGAUAUGAACCUUUGACCCGGCGAUGUCCGAAUGGGGAAACCCAGUGCAAUCCGUUGCACUAUCGUUAACUGAAUACAUAGGUUAACGAGGCGAACCGGGGGAACUGAAACAUCUAAGUACCCCGAGGAAAAGAAAUCAACCGAGAUUCCCCCAGUAGCGGCGAGCGAACGGGGAGCAGCCCGGAGUCUGAAUCAGCUUGUGUGUUAGUGGAACGGUCUGGAAAGUCCGACGGUACAGGGUGAUAGUCCCGUACACGAAAGCACACUUGCUGUGAACUCGAAGAGUAGGGCGGGACACGUGGUAUCCUGUCUGAAUAUGGGGGGACCAUCCUCCAAGGCUAAAUACUCCUGACUGACCGAUAGUGAACCAGUACCGUGAGGGAAAGGCGAAAAGAACCCCGGCGAGGGGAGUGAAAAAGAACCUGAAACCGUGUACGUACAAGCAGUGGGAGCCUCUUUAUGGGGUGACUGCGUACCUUUUGUAUAAUGGGUCAGCGACUUAUAUUCUGUAGCAAGGUUAACCGUAUAGGGGAGCCGAAGGGAAACCGAGUCUUAACUGGGCGUUAAGUUGCAGGGUAUAGACCCGAAACCCGGUGAUCUAGCCAUGGGCAGGUUGAAGGUUGGGUAACACUAACUGGAGGACCGAACCGACUAAUGUUGAAAAAUUAGCGGAUGACCUGUGGCUGGGGGUGAAAGGCCAAUCAAACCGGGAGAUAGCUGGUUCUCCCCGAAAGCUAUUUAGGUAGCGCCUCGUGAACUCAUCUUCGGGGGUAGAGCACUGUUUCGGCUAGGGGGCCAUCCCGGCUUACCAACCCGAUGCAAACUACGAAUACCGAAGAAUGUUAUCACGGGAGACACACGGCGGGUGCUAACGUCCGUCGUGAAGAGGGAAACAACCCAGACCGCCAGCUAAGGUCCCAAAGUCAUGGUUAAGUGGGAAACGAUGUGGGAAGGCACAGACAGCCAGGAUGUUGGCUUAGAAGCAGCCAUCAUUUAAAGAAAGCGUAAUAGCUCACUGGUCGAGUCGGCCUGCGCGGAAGAUGUAACGGGGCUAAACCAUGCACCGAAGCUGCGGCAGCGACACUAUGUGUUGUUGGGUAGGGGAGCGUUCUGUAAGCCGUUGAAGGUGUCCUGUGAGGGGUGCUGGAGGUAUCAGAAGUGCGAAUGCUGACAUAAGUAACGAUAAAGCGGGUGAAAAGCCCGCUCGCCGGAAGACCAAGGGUUCCUGUCCAACGUUAAUCGGGGCAGGGUGAGUCGACCCCUAAGGCGAGGCCGAAAGGCGUAGUCGAUGGGAAACAGGUUAAUAUUCCUGUACUUGGUGUUACUGCGAAGGGGGGACGGAGAAGGCUAUGUCAGCCGGGCGACGGUUGUCCCGGUUUAAGCAUGUAGGCGGAGGUUCCAGGUAAAUCCGGUACCUUAUUAACGCUGAGGUGUGAUGACGAGGCACUACGGUGCUGAAGUGAUAAAUGCCCUGCUUCCAGGAAAAGCCUCUAAGCAUCAGGUAACACGAAAUCGUACCCCAAACCGACACAGGUGGUCAGGUAGAGAAUACCAAGGCGCUUGAGAGAACUCGGGUGAAGGAACUAGGCAAAAUGGUGCCGUAACUUCGGGAGAAGGCACGCUGAUGUGUAGGUGAAGCCCCUGCGGGCGGAGCUGAAAUCAGUCGAAGAUACCAGCUGGCUGCAACUGUUUAUUAAAAACACAGCACUGUGCAAACACGAAAGUGGACGUAUACGGUGUGACGCCUGCCCGGUGCCGGAAGGUUAAUUGAUGGGGUUAGCGGCAACGCGAAGCUCUUGAUCGAAGCCCCGGUAAACGGCGGCCGUAACUAUAACGGUCCUAAGGUAGCGAAAUUCCUUGUCGGGUAAGUUCCGACCUGCACGAAUGGCGUAAUGAUGGCCAGGCUGUCUCCACCCGAGACUCAGUGAAAUUGAACUCGCUGUGAAGAUGCAGUGUACCCGCGGCAAGACGGAAAGACCCCGUGAACCUUUACUAUAGCUUGACACUGAACACUGGUCCUUGAUGUGUAGGAUAGGUGGGAGGCUUUGAAGCGUGGACGCCAGUCUGCGUGGAGCCAACCUUGAAAUACCACCCUUUAAUGGCUGGUGUUCUAACGUAGACCCGUAAUCCGGGUUGCGGACAGUGUCUGGUGGGUAGUUUGACUGGGGCGGUCUCCUCCCAAAGAGUAACGGAGGAGCACGAAGGUUGGCUAAUCCUGGUCGGACAUCAGGAGGUUAGUGCAAUGGCAUAAGCCAGCUUGACUGCGAGCGUGACGGCGCGAGCAGGUGCGAAAGCAGGUCAUAGUGAUCCGGUGGUUCUGAAUGGAAGGGCCAUCGCUCAACGGAUAAAAGGUACUCCGGGGAUAACAGGCUGAUACCGCCCAAGAGUUCAUAUCGACGGCGGUGUUUGGCACCUCGAUGUCGGCUCAUCACAUCCUGGGGCUGAAGUAGGUCCCAAGGGUAUGGCUGUUCGCCAUUUAAAGUGGUACGCGAGCUGGGUUUAGAACGUCGUGAGACAGUUCGGUCCCUAUCUGCCGUGGGCGCUGGAGAAUUGAGGGGGGCUGCUCCUAGUACGAGAGGACCGGAGUGGACGCAUCACUGGUGUUCGGGUUGUCAUGCCAAUGGCACUGCCCGGUAGCUAAAUGCGGAAGAGAUAAGUGCUGAAAGCAUCUAAGCACGAAACUUGCCCCGAGAUGAGUUCUCCCUGAGACUUUAAGUCUCCUGAAGGAACGUUGAAGACGACGACGUUGAUAGGUCGGGUGUGUAAGCGCAGCGAUGCGUUGAGCUAACCGAUACUAAUGAACCGUGAGGCUUAACCUU